UUUGGAGGGCAAGUCUGGUGCCAGCAGCCGCGGUAAUUCCAGCUCCAAUAGCGUAUAUUAAAGUUGCUGCAGUUAAAAAGCUCGUAGUUGAAUUUCGGGACCAAUAUGUCGGUCGUGCUUUUGUACGUACUGAUAUAAUUGGUUUCUCCCUUCUGAAGAACCUUGAUGUCAUUAGUUUGGUGUCUUGGGGAAUCAGGACUGUUACUUUGAAAAAAUUAGAGUGUUUAAAGCAGGCUCGCGCUUGAAUACAUUAGCAUGGAAUAAUGAAAUAGGACGUUUGAUUCUAUUUUGUUGGUUUCUAGGAUCGACGUAAUGAUUAAUAGGGAUAGUUGGGGGCAUUAGUAUUCAAUUGUCAGAGGUGAAAUUCUUGGAUUUAUUGAAGACUAACUACUGCGAAAGCAUUUGCCAAGGAUGUUUUCAUUAAUCAAGAACGAAAGUUAGGGGAUCGAAGACGAUCAGAUACCGUCGUAGUCUUAACCAUAAACUAUGCCGACUAGGGAUCGGAUGAUGUUAAUUUUUUAAUGACUCAUUCGGCGCCUUACGGGAAAC
This 549-nucleotide ribosomal RNA is filed under the name uncultured Glomus. RNAcentral's name for it is "SSU rRNA". It matches the Rfam family "Eukaryotic small subunit ribosomal RNA", at positions 547 to 1098 of the family's 1831-position model. The record is from RNAcentral. Lineage: Eukaryota; Fungi; Glomeromycota; Glomeromycetes; Glomerales; Glomeraceae.